RNAcentral lists this unclassified non-coding RNA (360 nucleotides) under soil metagenome. RNAcentral's name for it is "partial contains 5.8S ribosomal RNA, internal transcribed spacer 2, and large subunit ribosomal RNA". The stretch from base 1 to 120 matches the Rfam family "5.8S ribosomal RNA", at positions 35 to 154 of the family's 154-position model. The record is from RNAcentral.
GAUGAAGAACGUAGCGAAAUGCGAUAAGUAAUGUGAAUUGCAGAAUUCAGUGAAUCAUCGAAUCUUUGAACGCACCUUGCGCUCCUUGGUAUUCCGAGGAGCAUGCCUGUUUGAGAGUCAUUAAUAUAUCAACCUUCACUUGUUGAAUGGUUUGGAUGUGGGGGUUUGCUGGUCUCUUAAAGGGUUCAGCUCCUCUAAAAUGCAUUAGCAGAACAAUCUGUUCAUUGGUGUGAUAACUAUCUACGCUCUUGAAUAAGAUGCAGUUCAGCUUUCUAACUGUCCUUGGACAAUUUAUCAUUUAUGUGACCUCAAAUCAGGUAGGACUACCCGCUGAACUUAAGCAUAUCAAUAAGCGGAGGA